CACACACAAAUUCACAACAAAAAGUUAUCCGUGCAUUUUAUAUGGCAAAAUGAAAGUAAAAACUAUUCCCAGCCCCCAAAGGCCUAAUUUUCUUAAAAGAAACCCAAGGGAGACAUUAACAAGAUCGAAUGGGAAGGGUGUUAUGCUGCACCAAAUAGGAACAGUUGCUCUUCCCCUGCUAAAUACAGGAGAGCUGCCCGUUUUAAAAGUGCCUCUGUUAAAGUUAGUAGGGUUGUUGGAAGCAUUCUAACUGGCUGGAGCUCUACAGAGUAGUUGCUCUGGCGACCAGCUCAAAGGCAAGGAAGUCAUUUUGGAGACCUGGAUCUUUGCAUGCUACUUUCUGGAGAUAUAUAUUAAGUCUGCAGUUUCUGAGAUGGUUGAUGUCGCAGUGAAUGCCAUACUGUCUCCUGGUGCUGUAUUAAGAAUGAAGAACUACCUGGCCAAGGUCACUUGCUUCCAGCUAUGUACCUUUUCCCUUAGCCUUUGUGGCUAGAAUAUGUUCAUGACACCUGCAGGGCUUGUCUAGUGGAGAAUGUGGAACUUUUCUAACAUCAACGGUGGCACUAGUGUGGUUUGGAUUGGAAUUUGGGAGUGCUGUCAUAUUGAUGAUAUUCUGUCCAUCGUCUUUGAGCCAGAUGACAUGAACUGUAUAAGAUUAAGUGAGGAACAUACUUUCGUCUCCUGGGAAAUUUUUGUUGCCCAGAACCUCAUGGCACUCACCACCAUUGCAGGGGCAGUGGAAACAGGUUUUCUAUUGGUGGCCUUCUGGAAUAUGUAUAAGAAGGGAAAACAGGAAAAUCUUGUCUUCAACCUUUUUUUUAUUGGAGGCAUUAUAAACAUAGCAUCAAGGAUAGGUGUGUUUAUUCCUAUUGCCUGGAAUAUGGCUUCAGUCUUGUUAAGUGUGCCCAUUUUCUUUCCUGAAGCUUUCCAUUUGCCAUCUGAGCUGGAGUACCAGUAUGUUGGAGCUGCUUUUCCUGUAGGGUUGACCUCUGCCAUUUUUUAGAUACUGAGCUGGUAAUAUAUUCUCAGCAAUAAGUGUUUGACUGUCAAUAACAGGUCAACAAUACCAACAGAGACAUCUGAAAGGGAAAGGGAAAGAGCCAUUUGUCCACAAUGUUCAUCUUCCUUAAUGCUUAAAAAUCAAAACGCAAAUAAAUGUGAUUCUGUGAUCAUCAGGACUGAGAGCCCAUUGGAGGUCCUCUGUACUGAAAACCCAUCUGUGAUACUUCAAAUGCAUGUACUGUCUGAAGACAGUACAGACAACGUGACCAGUCAAACUAAACCUAUCCCAUCAUCUCUCAAAACUCACAUUAUAUUUGUGAUACCAUACAAAGAAGCAUAAGUUCAUGCUUAUUUGAACUUUAUUUCAGUUAAUCGAAAUGAUCAGAUUCUGGUCCCACCAAGACAUGAACUGUAAAUAUUUGAAAAUUAUAUAAAUCUUUGAAAGGGAUAGCUGGUCUUUUUAUGUUGCAAGAAUUUAAUUUGCUGUUGGGAUUCUUUUUAUGUUUUGGGGACAGUUUCUGUGCUGUUAAUGGUAGUGGUUGCUUUCAUGGUAUAGGCUACUAUUCUCUGUUAUCGUUCUAUGUUUCUAACUUCUUCUUUAAAAUAUUAACAUUUUAAUCACA
Long non-coding RNA from Hemicordylus capensis (graceful crag lizard), 1625 nucleotides. RefSeq lists it as uncharacterized. Lineage: Eukaryota; Metazoa; Chordata; Lepidosauria; Squamata; Cordylidae. The transcript is spliced from 2 exons. The record is from RefSeq and is a predicted model, not a curated record.